AGGGUUCGAUCAUGGCUCAGGAUGAACGCUGGCGGCGUGCUUAACACAUGCAAGUCGAACGAACCUUCGGGUUAGUGGCGGACGGGUGAGUAACGCGUGAGAAUCUGCCCUCAGGAGGGGGAUAACGGUUGGAAACGACCGCUAAUACCCCAUAUGCCUACUGGUGAAAUGAAUUUCGCCUGAGGAUGAGCUCGCGUCUGAUUAGCUAGUUGGUGAGGUAAUGGCUCACCAAGGCUUCGAUCAGUAGCUGGUCUGAGAGGAUGAUCAGCCACACUGGGACUGAGACACGGCCCAGACUCCUACGGGAGGCAGCAGUGGGGAAUUUUCCGCAAUGGGCGAAAGCCUGACGGAGCAACGCCGCGUGAGGGACGAAGGCCUCUGGGCUGUAAACCUCUUUUCUCAAGGAAGAAGAUAUGACGGUACUUGAGGAAUAAGCCACGGCUAAUUCCGUGCCAGCAGCCGCGGUAAUAC
RNAcentral lists this ribosomal RNA (471 nucleotides) under uncultured bacterium. Its description in RNAcentral is "bacterial SSU rRNA". It matches the Rfam family "Bacterial small subunit ribosomal RNA", at positions 8 to 526 of the family's 1533-position model. The record is from RNAcentral.